Molecule: long non-coding RNA, 277 nt
Filed under: Vigna radiata
Lineage: Eukaryota; Viridiplantae; Streptophyta; Magnoliopsida; Fabales; Fabaceae
Description: long non-coding RNA (VRAD_LNC013307)
Source: RNAcentral
UCUCAUCUUCUUACUGCAAUCAUCACCCUCCAAAUGAAAAAAGUUCCGGAAUCCUAAAUCAAAACCCUAGUUUCAAAUCGCGAGAUCAAAAUCUGUAGAGAAUAAUCAAGAACAAAAACCCCAAAUAACAUAAUCCAAAUCAAAACCCUAACCCCAAAUCGCGAAAUCAAAACCUACAUAGAAGAAUCAAGAAUAUAAACCCCAAACAACAUAACCCAAAUCAAGACUCUAGCCCCAAAUCGCGAGAUCAAAACCUGUAGAGAAGAAUCAAGAACAA